AUGGCUAAUCACCUCGUCUCCGGACUUAUCAUCUCCAGUAUCUUCCGCAUCCGAACUGGUUCACUAGACUUUAGGUGCUUUUUAGCUGUCUUCGAGGUUCGUUUCUCAGCAACUACCCCCCGGGAUUCGUCUUCUCAGCUUUUGACUAUCUCGAGUUUCUCAUCUAUGAACGUGCCGGUUCUGCUCUCCCCUUUUCUUUUGGGUUGCCCAACCCUCCAUAACUCAAAUAUUAUUAUCUCUUUAAUUACGCCCCGCACAACCAUCUUAACUCGCUCGGCCUCCUCAAAGAAGAAGUCUUCUGUGUCAGCUUCUCGCUUCAGCUCGCAGGCCUACUGUGCUGCUCUUCAAGCAGAUGCUUCUUUCUCUUCCAGCCCAAGCCCAUCUUGA
Non-coding RNA from Vicia faba (fava bean), 387 nucleotides. Lineage: Eukaryota; Viridiplantae; Streptophyta; Magnoliopsida; Fabales; Fabaceae. The record is from the annotation of a GenBank genome assembly.